RNAcentral lists this ribosomal RNA (502 nucleotides) under uncultured bacterium. RNAcentral describes it as "partial 16S ribosomal RNA". It matches the Rfam family "Bacterial small subunit ribosomal RNA", at positions 28 to 507 of the family's 1533-position model. The record is from RNAcentral.
GACGAACGCUGGCGGCGUGCUUAACACAUGCAAGUCGAACGGUGAAGGGGCCUGCUUUUGUGGGCCCUGGAUGAGUGGCGAACGGGUGAGUAACACGUGAGUAACCUGCCCCCUUCUUCUGGAUAACCGCAUGAAAGUGUGGCUAAUACGGGAUAUUCUGGGUCUGUCGCAUGAUGGGUCUGGGCAAGAUUGCGCCUUUGGGUGUUUUUGGUGGGGGAUGGGCUCGCGGCCUAUCAGCUUGUUGGUGGGGUGAUGGCCUACCAAGGCGGUGACGGGUAGCCGGCCUGAGAGGGUGGACGGUCACACUGGGACUGAGACACGGCCCAGACUCCUACGGGAGGCAGCAGUGGGGAAUAUUGCACAAUGGGCGCAAGCCUGAUGCAGCGACGCCGCGUGAGGGAUGGAGGCCUUCGGGUUGUAAACCUCUUUCGCCAGUGAAGCAGGCCUGCUCCUUGUGGGUGGGUUGACGGUAGCUGGAUAAGAAGCGCCGGCUAACUACGUG